CUACGGGCGCACCAGUGAGGAAUAUUGCACAAUGGGGGGAACCCUGAUGCAGCAACGCCGCGUGGAGGAUGACGCAUUUCGGUGUGUAAACUCCUUUUAUAUGUCAAGAAAAUGACGGUAGCAUAUGAAUAAGCACCGGCUAACUCCGUGCCAGCAGCCGCGGUAAUACGGAGGGUGCAAGCGUUACUCGGAAUCACUGGGCGUAAAGGACGCGUAGGCGGGUUGGAAAGUCAGGUGUGAAAUCCUACAGCUUAACUGUAGAACUGCACUUGAAACUUCUAAUCUAGAGUAUGGGAGGGGGAGAUGGAAUUAGUGGUGUAGGGGUAACAUCCGUAGAUAUCACUAGGAAUACCUAAAGCGGAGGCGAUCUCCUGGAACAUUACUGACGCUAAGGCGUGAAAGCGUGGGGAGCAAACAGGAUUAGAUACCCCAGUAGUC
This 438-nucleotide ribosomal RNA is filed under the name uncultured bacterium. Its description in RNAcentral is "partial 16S ribosomal RNA". It matches the Rfam family "Bacterial small subunit ribosomal RNA", at positions 339 to 795 of the family's 1533-position model. The record is from RNAcentral.